This is a long non-coding RNA of Rana temporaria (common frog), 1423 nucleotides long. RefSeq lists it as uncharacterized. The record is from RefSeq and is a predicted model, not a curated record. NCBI's taxonomy places the organism in Eukaryota, Metazoa, Chordata, Amphibia, Anura, Ranidae. The transcript is spliced from 2 exons.
AGAGACUGCAUGACCAGAACCCAAUGUUCUUGGGUAUGUCAACCACCUUACCUACAAAAGAGACUGCAUGACCAGAACCCAAUGUUCUUGGGUAUGUCAACCACCUUACCUACAAAAGAGACUGCCUGACCAGAACUCAAUGUUCUUGGCUAUGUCAACCACCUUGCCUACAAAAGAGAUUGCCUGACUAGGACCCAAUGUUCUUGGCUAUGUCAACCAUCUUACCUACAAAAGAGACUGCAUGACCAGGUCGCAAUGUUCUUGGGUAUGUCAACCAACUCACCUACAAAAGAGACUGCAUGACCAGGACUCAAUGUUCUUGGCUAUGUCAACCACCUUGCCUACAAAAGAGACUGCCUGACUAGGACCCAAUGUUCUUGGCUAUGUCAACCAUCUUACCUACAAAAGAGACUGCAUGACCAGAACCCGAUGUUCUUGUCAAUGUCAACUAUUGGCCGACUUACUAUAAAGGGGACCAGCUUGGGAUGUAAGAACCUUACAGGACUUCUCAGGAAUAUCUGAUAAACCCAGCAAUUCUUGAACCCUUUGGACUUGGUUGAUACAGAGGUGAAAGGACACCAAGACCUCUUCCUUCUCUGCCUAAAAUCCCAGGCGGUAAUAAUGACGCCUUGUCUGGAGCAACGUUUGGCGAGCUGUCAAGACCCGACCAUCGUGCUCUUAACUAGAGGUCCAAAGGACUGACGAUGGAGGCCCAACCAGUGAGCUAAACAAAGUACAACAAGUAUAAGCUCAUUCGCCUGGUAGCCCAUUGGCCAUGCUUCAUCCUCGCCCAAACUUUGGGCCAACGUUCCAGACUAAAAGGAAUGGUCGCAUCCAACCGAAAAGACCGCUAAUGCUGGAAGAGGUCUUUCAUCAAAUACUGGACUUCAACUCCAAAGCCCCCCCACCAUGAACUUUGACAAAAACAAACUUCAUCUACAAAUCAAUCAUUCUUUCGUUUUUGCAAUCCCCUUCCCAGAUCUUCACAACUGUCCACCUCCAAGGUGCAUCGUCCAAUCAGAGUCUCCAUACAUUUUGGUGGACAUCCUUCCUAAGAUGCAAAUAUCUUUCAUGCAAUAUGUCUAACGUGCAAUGAAUGUACAUUUUUAUUUUUUAUUCUUAAUGAAAUAAUGUUGAUACCUCUCUUAGAAUUUACCGGAAUGUACCACUUAAAGGCAAAAGAUGAACUGUCAAGAAAAGUCAUUCUAAAAAAAAAAAGUGACCUUAAUUGGAAAACAGUAGCACUUUUACUAAGAAAAGAAAAAGAUUCUGUGUUUUGCACAAAAAGAUCUUCACAGUCUUGUCUAUUCUUGUAUGAAAGCACAUUGCAUUAUCCAAAGAUCAUGUAAAGAGGUUGAGAUUACCUGAAAGCCAUAAUGUAUUCAUAGAAUUUGUUCGUUAAUAAAAUUAUAUUUGAUGGAAA